UACGAAGGGGGCUAGCGUUGUUCGGAAUUACUGGGCGUAAAGCGUGCGCAGGCGGCUUCUCAAGUCAGGGGUGAAAGCCCAGAGCUCAGCUCUGGAACUGCCUUUGAGACUGAGUGGCUUGAGUACGAGAGAGGUGAGUGGAAUUCCCAGUGUAGAGGUGAAAUUCGUAGAUAUUGGGAAGAACACCGGUGGCGAAGGCGGCUCACUGGCUCGUAACUGACGCUCAUGCACGACAGCGUGGGGAUCAAACAGG
This 253-nucleotide ribosomal RNA is filed under the name uncultured bacterium. RNAcentral's name for it is "partial 16S ribosomal RNA". It matches the Rfam family "Bacterial small subunit ribosomal RNA", at positions 524 to 776 of the family's 1533-position model. The record is from RNAcentral.